GCCUAUAGCUCAGAUGGCUAGAGCGUUCGACUGAUAAUCGAAAGGUCGGAGGUUCAAUUCCUCCUAGGCCC
RNAcentral lists this transfer RNA (71 nucleotides) under fish gut metagenome. It matches the Rfam family "tRNA". From Rfam's summary of the family: Transfer RNA (tRNA) molecules are approximately 80 nucleotides in length. The record is from RNAcentral.